This 503-nucleotide ribosomal RNA is filed under the name uncultured bacterium. Its description in RNAcentral is "partial 16S ribosomal RNA". It matches the Rfam family "Bacterial small subunit ribosomal RNA", at positions 28 to 523 of the family's 1533-position model. The record is from RNAcentral.
GAUGAACGCUAGCGGCAGGCCUAACACAUGCAAGUCGAGGGGUAGCAGGAUUAAGCUUGCUUAAUUGCUGACGACCGGCGCACGGGUGCGUAACGCGUAUGCAACCUACCUUAUACUGGGGUAUAGCCCGGAGAAAUUCGGAUUAAUCCCCCAUAGUACUAAUGAAUCGCAUGGUUUAUUAGUUAAAGCAUUGCGGUAUAAGAUGGGCAUGCGUCCUAUUAGCUAGAUGGUGAGGUAACGGCUCACCAUGGCUACGAUAGGUAGGGGGCCUGAGAGGGUGGUCCCCCACACGGGUACUGAGACACGGACCAGACUCCUACGGGAGGCAGCAGUGAGGAAUAUUGGUCAAUGGGCGCAAGCCUGAACCAGCCAUGCCGCGUGCAGGAAGAAUGCCCUAUGGGUAGUAAACUGCUUUUAUUUGGGAAUAAACCUCUUUACGUGUAGAGAGCUGAAGGUACCAAAUGAAUAAGCACCGGCUAACUCCGUGCCAGCAGCCGCCGUAA